This 228-nucleotide ribosomal RNA is filed under the name uncultured bacterium. RNAcentral describes it as "partial 16S ribosomal RNA". It matches the Rfam family "Bacterial small subunit ribosomal RNA", at positions 568 to 795 of the family's 1533-position model. The record is from RNAcentral.
UACGUAGGCGGAAAAUUAAGUCAGUAGUGAAAUCCUGCAGCUUAACUGUAGAACUGUUAUUGAUACUGGUUUUCUUGAAUAUAGUUGAGGUAGGCGGAAUGUGUAAUGUAGCGGUGAAAUGCUUAGAUAUUACACAGAACGCCGAUUGCGAAGGCAGCUUACUAAGCUAUGAUUGACGCUGAGGUACGAAAGCGUGGGGAGCGAACAGGAUUAGAUACCCUGGUAGUC